This 530-nucleotide ribosomal RNA is filed under the name uncultured bacterium. RNAcentral describes it as "bacterial SSU rRNA". It matches the Rfam family "Bacterial small subunit ribosomal RNA", at positions 355 to 896 of the family's 1533-position model. The record is from RNAcentral.
UGGGGAAUAUUGCACAAUGGGCGGAAGCCUGAUGCAGCGACGCCGCGUGAGGGAUGAAGGCCUUCGGGUUGUAAACCUCUUUCAGCAGGGACGAAGCGUGAGUGACGGUACCUGCAGAAGAAGCACCGGCUAACUACGUGCCAGCAGCCGCGGUAAUACGUAGGGUGCGAGCGUUGUCCGGAAUUACUGGGCGUAAAGAGUUCGUAGGCGGUUUGUCGCGUCGUUUGUGAAAACCCGGGGCUCAACUUCGGGCUUGCAGGCGAUACGGGCAGACUUGAGUGUUUCAGGGGAGACUGGAAUUCCUGGUGUAGCGGUGAAAUGCGCAGAUAUCAGGAGGAACACCGGUGGCGAAGGCGGGUCUCUGGGAAACAACUGACGCUGAGGAACGAAAGCGUGGGUAGCAAACAGGAUUAGAUACCCUGGUAGUCCACGCCGUAAACGGUGGGCGCUAGGUGUGGGUUCCUUCCACGGGAUCUGUGCCGUAGCUAACGCAUUAAGCGCCCCGCCUGGGGAGUACGGCCGCAAGGCUA